AUCAACUUCGCAAGCCUUACUCUUCCCCUCUCCCCUCUCUCCUCUCUCCUCUCUCCUCUCUCGUUCCCAAUCUAGAUCUAGGGUUUUGGAUUAGGGUUUUUAAUGGUUAAUUUGCGUUUGGAGAAAUAAUUACACAGGUGAGAUUCACCAUAGAGAGUUUUGCAGAUUCAGGAAAGAUGUAUACCCUGGUAUAGCAAGUGUUCAAACAAAGAUGGAUGUAAUCAUGUAAAAGUGGCAGUUCUGUUUGAAAGAUGGGGGAUAUCAAUGUAUGUGGAGAAUAAUAAGAGAAGUAAAAGUGGGGGAAUUGAUUUCGUAUGUUAUUACUCUUUUGGGUAUUAAAUUGUUGUGUUUUGUAGAUUGUAAUUUAUUUCCAAAGAAGGGAUUCACAGCAUGUUUGGUACUUGUAUGUUUGGUAUUUAAGACUAUUUAAUGCUAUUGAGCAUAUACCUUUUUUUUCUCUCUUUUUUGUGGGAUUUAUAGAAAAAAAUAUAGCAAUCUUAAUGGAAACAAUCAUUUUUUUA
Molecule: long non-coding RNA, 521 nt
Organism: Ananas comosus (pineapple)
Lineage: Eukaryota; Viridiplantae; Streptophyta; Magnoliopsida; Poales; Bromeliaceae
Exons: 2
Source: RefSeq, a predicted model, not a curated record